GAACGCACCUUGCGCCCUUUGGCUAUUCUGAAGGGCAUGCCUGUUUGAGUAUCAGUAAACACCUCAACUCCCUUUCUUCUUGAAAUGGAGCUGGACUUGAGUGAUCCCAACGCUUUAUUCAUAAAGUGGCGGGUUACUUGAAAUGCAGGUGCUGCUUGACUUUUCUCUGAGCUAUAAGCAUAUCUAUUUAGUCUGCCUCAAAACAGAUUAUUACCUUUGCUGCAGCUAACAUAAAGGAGAUUAGUUCUUGUGCUGACUGAUGCAGGAUUCACAAAGACCGCUUCGGCUGUCUUUGUAAACUCGAUCUCAAAUCAAGUAAGACUACCCGCUGAACUUAAG
Molecule: unclassified non-coding RNA, 339 nt
Filed under: uncultured Mortierellales
Lineage: Eukaryota; Fungi; Mortierellomycota; Mortierellomycetes; Mortierellales
Description: sequence contains 5.8S rRNA gene
Source: RNAcentral